GGCCUCAAAUCAGACAAGAGUACCCGCUGAACUUAAGCAUAUCAAUAAGAGGAGGAAAAGAAACUAACAAGGAUUCCCCUAGUAACGGCGAGUGAAGCGGGAACAGCUCAAAUUUUAAAUCUGGCUGCUUUGUAGUCCGAGUUGUAAUUUGAAGGAGUCUUGCCGCUGGCAAAACGAUGGCACAAGUCCUCUGGAACGGGGCAUCGUAGAGGGUGGGAAUCCCGUCUCCGGUCAUCACGCGCUGGCAUACGGCAGGCAUCCGAAGAGUCGAGUUGUUUGGGAUUGCAGCUCCAAAUGGGUGGUAAACUCCAUCUAAGGCUAAAUAUUGGCGAGAGACCGAUAGCGAACAAGUACCGUGAGGGAAAGAUGAAAAGAACUUUGAAAAGAGAGUAAAACAGUACGUGAAAUUGUUGAAAGGGAAACGAUUGAAG
This 431-nucleotide ribosomal RNA is filed under the name uncultured Paraglomus. Its description in RNAcentral is "eukaryotic LSU rRNA". It matches the Rfam family "Eukaryotic large subunit ribosomal RNA", at positions 1 to 428 of the family's 3401-position model. The record is from RNAcentral. Lineage: Eukaryota; Fungi; Glomeromycota; Glomeromycetes; Paraglomerales; Paraglomeraceae.